CCCUUAGAUGUUCUGGGCCGCACGCGCGCUACACUGAUGAAUUCAACGAGUAACAACCUUGGCUGAAGAGCCCGGGUAAUCUUGUAAACGUUCAUCGUGAUGGGGAUAGAUCCUUGUAAUUAUUGAUCUUCAACGAGGAAUUCCUAGUAAACGCAAGUCAUCAGCUUGCAUUGAUUACGUCCCUGCCCUUUGUACACACCGCCCGUCGCACCUACCGAUUGAAUGGUGCGGUGAAAUCUCUGGACCGCGACAUUGACUUGUUUUCGGACAAGACUUUGUUGUGGGAAGUUGAUUAAACCUUACCAUUUAGAGGAAGGUGAAGUCGUAACA
This 330-nucleotide ribosomal RNA is filed under the name uncultured eukaryote. Its description in RNAcentral is "partial 18S ribosomal RNA". It matches the Rfam family "Eukaryotic small subunit ribosomal RNA", at positions 1470 to 1796 of the family's 1831-position model. The record is from RNAcentral.